CAUAUCAACUUUUGAUUCCAGUUUUCUUCACAAGCCUCUACUAUUGUGUACAUAGUUUAUACUAAGUGACCCAUAAGUUGAGGAGGCGGUGACCGUGGCAGUGUAGGUGGAAGCAGCGGUGGAGGAGGAGGAUGAGGUAGCCAUCACUGUUUUAUAUAUAUAUAUAUAUAUAUAUAUAUAUAUUUAAAAAAAUAAAUAAAUUUUGAUGGCGACUUUGCAUUCGGAUGUCAUCCAUAUCAAGUUUCGAUGCCAGUUUCUACGCCUACCAUGGUGACCACAGGUAACGGGGAAUUAGGGUUCCAUUCUGUACAGGGCCCCUGAGAAAUGGUUACCACAUGCAAGGAAGGCAG
Pelobates cultripes (western spadefoot toad) is the source of this 350-nucleotide non-coding RNA. The record is from the annotation of a GenBank genome assembly. Lineage: Eukaryota; Metazoa; Chordata; Amphibia; Anura; Pelobatidae.